Molecule: long non-coding RNA, 1043 nt
Filed under: Ursus maritimus (polar bear)
Lineage: Eukaryota; Metazoa; Chordata; Mammalia; Carnivora; Ursidae
Description: lncRNA (ENSUMAG00000021471.1)
Source: RNAcentral
AUUUUGGUUCAGAAUUCUGAGUUCUCUGUUCAUUGUCUUCUGACUGUUGCUGCUUCAGCAAUCCAGUGCCCCUCAUUCCCAGACCUUUGGAUUGACCAUUUGCCUUUUUCUUUCUCCAGAAGUUUCCAGGCACUUCCAUCGCUGUUGUCUGAAAUCGUAGAGAGAGAGACAGCCAGCGAGAGACGGAACACAAGCAGGGGGAGUGGGAGAGGAAGAAGCAGGUUCCCAGCAGAAGAGCCUGACGUGGGGCUCGAUCCCAGAACUCCGGGAUCACGCCCUGAGCCGAAGGCAGACGCUUAACGACUGAGCCACCCAGGAGCCCCCAGACCUUUAAUUUUUAAUGUAAAUGAAUUUAUCGAUUUUUUUCUUUGAUUUUUUUUUCUUUUAUGGCUGCUGAGUUUGGUGACAUACUCAGAGGCCUCCUUCACUCCAAGAUUCUACAACACUUUCCCUUUGUUUCUUCAGUAUUUUUAUAGCUCACUUUUUUUUUUUUAACCCUUGGAUCCACCUGAAAAAACAGUAUGUUCUAACGAUUUCAAUGGCUGACUCUGUGUUGAGAAACAUCAGAAGGAGCAGCCAACCUGUUCCUGGAUACUGUGUUCAUCCUGGACUCAUGUGAGGAACUGGGUGCAGCUUUCUCAUCUUUCUGCCUGAAACCAGAUCUCAGUCAGGGAUGGAGUCCGGGCACUCUGCUGGCCCUUGGGCUCCUUGCCUGCAUCCCAGGCUGUGAAGCUGAGCAGGACUGGGCUCGAACCCAUCUCCCAAGGAGUUUCCUUCCCUGGCCAAACCCUCAUCCCUGAGGUGGGAGAUACUGAUGGAGGGUGUGAGGACCACUGCCCAGUGGGAUUCUCAGCCUUUGCUUGUUCCACUGUCUUGAGUCAAGGAAACUAAGGUUCCUGGGGACACUCACUACCUUGUAACCUGCAUCAAAUCACUUCAUGUCUCCAAACCUCCAAUUCUUCAACUGUAAAAGACAGUAACACCUACCUCGUAGGGUUGUCACGAGGAUUAAAUAAAUGUGCCCAGUACACAGUACGUGUGCA